UACAAUGGAGAGUUUGAUCCUGGCUCAGGAUGAACGCUAGCGGGAGGCCUAACACAUGCAAGCCGAGCGGUAGAUUGCUUUCGGGCAAUUGAGAGCGGCGUACGGGUGCGGAACACGUGUGCAACCUGCCUUUAUCUGGGGGAUAGCCUUUCGAAAGGAAGAUUAAUACCUCAUAAUAUAAGAGACGGCAUCGUUUUUUAUUGAAAACUCCGGUGGAUAGAGAUGGGCACGCGCAAGAUUAGAUAGUUGGUGAGGUAACGGCUCACCAAGUCGACGAUCUUUAGGGGGCCUGAGAGGGUGAUCCCCCACACUGGUACUGAGACACGGACCAGACUCCUACGGGAGGCAGCAGUGAGGAAUAUUGGACAAUGGGUGAAAGCCUGAUCCAGCCAUCCCGCGUGAAGGACGACGGCCCUAUGGGUUGUAAACUUCUUUUGUAUAGGGAUAAACCUUUCCACGUGUGGAAAGCUGAAGGUACUAUACGAAUAAGCACCGGCUAACUCCGUGCCAGCAGCCGCGGUAAUACGGAGGGUGCAAGCGUUAUCCGGAUUUAUUGGGUUUAAAGGGUCCGUAGGCUGAUUUGUAAGUCAGUGGUGAAAUCUCACAGCUUAACUGUGAAACUGCCAUUGAUACUGCAAGUCUUGAGUGUUGUUGAAGUAGCUGGAAUAAGUAGUGUAGCGGUGAAAUGCAUAGAUAUUACUUAGAACACCAAUUGCGAAGGCAGGUUACUAAGCAACAACUGACGCUGAUGGACGAAAGCGUGGGGAGCGAACAGGAUUAGAUACCCUGGUAGUCCACGCCGUAAACGAUGCUAACUCGUUUUUGGGAUGUAAGUUUCAGAGACUAAGCGAAAGUGAUAAGUUAGCCACCUGGGGAGUACGAACGCAAGUUUGAAACUCAAAGGAAUUGACGGGGGCCCGCACAAGCGGUGGAUUAUGUGGUUUAAUUCGAUGAUACGCGAGGAACCUUACCAAGGCUUAAAUGGGAAAUGACAGGCUUAGAAAUAGGCUUUUCUUCGGACAUUUUUCAAGGUGCUGCAUGGUUGUCGUCAGCUCGUGCCGUGAGGUGUUAGGUUAAGUCCUGCAACGAGCGCAACCCCUGUCACUAGUUGCCAUCAUUAAGUUGGGGACUCUAGUGAGACUGCCUACGCAAGUAGAGAGGAAGGUGGGGAUGACGUCAAAUCAUCACGGCCCUUACGCCUUGGGCCACACACGUAAUACAAUGGCCGGUACAGAGGGCAGCUACACAGCGAUGUGAUGCAAAUCUCGAAAGCCGGUCUCAGUUCGGAUUGGAGUCUGCAACUCGACUCUAUGAAGCUGGAAUCGCUAGUAAUCGCGCAUCAGCCAUGGCGCGGUGAAUACGUUCCCGGGCCUUGUACACACCGCCCGUCAAGCCAUGGAAGUCUGGGGUACCUGAAGUCGGUGACCGUAAAAGGAGCUGCCUAGGGUAAAACAGGUAACUAGGGCUAAGUCGUAACAAGGUAGCCGUACCGGAAGGUGCGGCUGGAACAUCUCAUUUUAGAG
Molecule: ribosomal RNA, 1523 nt
Filed under: Chryseobacterium gallinarum
Lineage: Bacteria; Pseudomonadati; Bacteroidota; Flavobacteriia; Flavobacteriales; Weeksellaceae
Description: bacterial SSU rRNA
Rfam family: Bacterial small subunit ribosomal RNA
Source: RNAcentral